RNAcentral lists this ribosomal RNA (404 nucleotides) under uncultured bacterium. RNAcentral describes it as "bacterial SSU rRNA". It matches the Rfam family "Bacterial small subunit ribosomal RNA", at positions 355 to 776 of the family's 1533-position model. The record is from RNAcentral.
UGGGGAAUAUUGGACAAUGGGGGCAACCCUGAUCCAGCAAUGCCGCGUGAAUGAAGAAGGCCUUCGGGUUGUAAAGUUCUUUCACCUGUGAAGAUUAUGACAGUAGCAGGAGAAGAAGCUCCGGCUAACUCCGUGCCAGCAGCCGCGGUAAGACGGGGGGAGCUAGCGUUAUUCGGAAUUACUGGGCGUAAAGGGUGCGUAGGCGGCUCUUUAAGUAAGGCGUGAAAGACCUGAGCUCAACUCAGGAAGUGCGUUUUAAACUGGAGAGCUAGAGGAUGGCAGAGGAAAGUGGAAUUUCCAGUGUAGAGGUAAAAUUCGCAGAUAUUGGAAGGAACACCAGAGGCGAAGGCGACUUUCUGGGCCAUUCCUGACGCUGAGGCACGAAAGCGUGGGGAGCAAACAGG